RNAcentral lists this ribosomal RNA (253 nucleotides) under uncultured bacterium. RNAcentral describes it as "partial 16S ribosomal RNA". It matches the Rfam family "Bacterial small subunit ribosomal RNA", at positions 524 to 776 of the family's 1533-position model. The record is from RNAcentral.
UACGAAGGGGGCUAGCGUUGCUCGGAUUUACUGGGCGUACAGGGCGCGUAGGCGGACAGUUUAGUCAGAGGUGAAAGCCCAGGGCUCAACCUUGGAAUUGCUUUUGAUACUGGCUGUCUUGAGUACGGGAGAGGUGAGUGGAACUCCGAGUGUAGAGGUGAAAUUCGUAGAUAUUCGGAAGAACACCAGUGGCGAAGGCGACUCACUGGCCCGUUACUGACGCUGAGGCGCGAAAGCGUGGGGAGCAAACAGG